AUCUUCACUAACCCACGGGAAGUAAACAUUCUCCUGACUCUCUGCACAUUCUUCUACGUGAUUUUGAGUGACUGCAGGGUAUUAUUUCAUAUGAACGAAACAUAAUUUACUUCAUGCAAGAGUCCCAAUUUUUCACAAUUAUAAGCUUUGGACAGAUAGUCCUCAAGAUGAAGUCUCAGCCAUGGAACUUCUGGAUCAGAGAGGCUGUGCACUUUCUAGGCCUCUGAGAUGGCCCAGGGUCCACUUCCCGGAAUUUCACGUCACCUCUGAACCAAAGUCUGACUUUAGGCUCCCUGAGUCUCCACCGUUCCAGAAAGAGCUUGGCGUGACGGUGAACGGCUUGCCUCGGCGUUCAGGGGAGCUUUGCGAGAGUCACAGCUGGAGGGAGUGAGAGCGGUUCACAAGGGUUUUUGAUAAAUUCUUCACCUCGCAGGUGACUUAGACCGGGCUGCCUCUGGAAAACAGGCAGAAGACAUGUUUUGGACCUGGGCCUGACCUGUGCCAGAGCUGCCAACCCCUUGGAGGAGGUGACAGGGGACAUCUGGCAGGUGCAGAGAUGGAGAAACCAGAACCCACCUGUUCUCUGGGAGCCCAAGCAAGGGACGCAAGGGAACCAGCUACAGAAUAAUUAUAAUGCCUCCCAAGCUCAACGAUUCCCAAGGUGUGGAGGGCACACGUGUGUAAAAUGGGAAGUGGUAUUGGAGCACAUGUGGACAUGGCAUAAAUAACACUGAAUCACAAAGGACAGAGUCACGCCCUUUUCAAUGAUCUUUUAACCCUUCAGAUAAAGCACAGAGAAUGUCUCAGUUUGGUGCUAACAGGUCUUUAACACCUUUCUUGAAUCCCACCUCCUCUAAAAGGAAAAAAGAAGAUAGAGACCCAAGUCUCCAGCUGUAAUAAUAUUGAGCCAGAAAUUGGAAACAUUGCUUUCAUUGUAUUUAUUUUACAGUUGGCUUCUAAUUGACUAGUCUCACGAAUUUUUUCCGUUUACUAUUGUGACUUAAAGUUUACUUUUAAAAUAAACAUAUUUUAAGUUUUUAAAAAGUGUGUUCAUUUGAAGGAAAAGAUUAAGUAAAUAGGAGAGCAGGUGGCCAGCAGACGUGGCAGAAAUCGUGCAGGUGGCAUCCACACGGC
This 1134-nucleotide long non-coding RNA is filed under the name Equus caballus (horse). RNAcentral describes it as "lncRNA (ENSECAG00000059792.1)". The record is from RNAcentral. Lineage: Eukaryota; Metazoa; Chordata; Mammalia; Perissodactyla; Equidae.